AAGUCGUAACAAGGUUUCCGUAGGUGAACCUGCGGAAGGAUCAUUACCUUUCUGUCUAUUUAAUAGCUUGGUCGGGGGGCUAUAGUCUCUAUAGCCUCUGACUGAAUCCGUGUUUUUUACGUAUCUACAUGGUUCCUCGUGGCUGUCGCCGUUGGACAACUAAACUCUUGCAAUUGCAAUCAGCGUCUGAAUUAUUUAAUAAUUACAAU
RNAcentral lists this unclassified non-coding RNA (209 nucleotides) under plant metagenome. Its description in RNAcentral is "partial contains small subunit ribosomal RNA and internal transcribed spacer 1". The stretch from base 1 to 46 matches the Rfam family "Eukaryotic small subunit ribosomal RNA", at positions 1786 to 1831 of the family's 1831-position model. The record is from RNAcentral.